GCCAAUACCAGCCAAGCUUAAUCUGACUACCUGAUAAGACGUGGUGUGUGCACACUGGAGCUGUUGCUCUCAUCUUGGUGUGCCCUACGGACUUCUGCUUUAGCAGCUGGCGGCGGUCAUGACUGAUUACACCAUGUUUGAUUUCCUACUGAUUGACUAUGAAAAUCUUCCCAGUGUCACUCCAUCCACUCAAAACUGACUCUGACUGCAUUGGUGAACUUGGUUCUUCUAAGCACCGGACGGACAUGGAGGGGGGUACACGAUGCUGAGCAAAGACGGACCUGGUCUCUGCCCUCAUAAACUGCCAGUCCAGCGA
Hipposideros armiger (great roundleaf bat) is the source of this 316-nucleotide long non-coding RNA. RefSeq lists it as uncharacterized. The record is from RefSeq and is a predicted model, not a curated record. The transcript is spliced from 3 exons. Lineage: Eukaryota; Metazoa; Chordata; Mammalia; Chiroptera; Hipposideridae.